This 253-nucleotide ribosomal RNA is filed under the name uncultured bacterium. Its description in RNAcentral is "partial 16S ribosomal RNA". It matches the Rfam family "Bacterial small subunit ribosomal RNA", at positions 524 to 776 of the family's 1533-position model. The record is from RNAcentral.
UACGUAGGUGGCAAGCGUUAUCCGGAUUUAUUGGGCGUAAAGAGAACGCAGGCGGUCUUUUAAGUCUGAUGUGAAAGCCUUCGGCUUAACCGGAGUAGUGCAUUGGAAACUACCGGGCUGGAGUGCCGGAGAGGUAGGCGGAAUUCCUGGUGUAGCGGUGAAAUGCGUAGAUAUCAGGAGGAACACCAGUGGCGAAGGCGGCCUACUGGACGGUGACUGACGCUGAGGCUCGAAAGCGUGGGGAGCAAACAGG